Long non-coding RNA from Lagopus leucura (white-tailed ptarmigan), 647 nucleotides. RefSeq lists it as uncharacterized. The record is from RefSeq and is a predicted model, not a curated record. NCBI's taxonomy places the organism in Eukaryota, Metazoa, Chordata, Aves, Galliformes, Phasianidae. The transcript is spliced from 4 exons.
AAGCAGCAGUCCUUAAUACAACAUCACAGAUCCUGGAGCUCUAUUGUGAAAACUCAGAGAGGAUGCAGCAGAUCUGUGACGGGCUGAGGGAACUCUCCUGGAUCCUAUGUACAAAAAGGCUGAAGCGCUGCUGCAGGCUCCUGCAAUAUGAUGGUGAUGUGAAUGAUGUCCAUCCCCACCGCUGCCUGUUGGAUUUCUUUUGCUGCAGUCGGGUUGUUCAGUCUGACAUUGUUUCAUGAAGACAACACAUCUGCAGUUUGUAAAUUGAGAGAGAGGGUCUGAAGGUACUAAAAAGUCCUUAACGUUGUCUGUUCCUCAGAAGCCCUUGCUGGGGCUGCUUCUAAAAUGGCUUGAUGCUUCUCAGCUGGGUGGAAGACAUUUAAGCAAGUGCUAAGUGUGACAAGUGUAGGUACAGGUUGUGGAGAUGGCUGCGAGUCAACUCUACAAAUAGAUACUGUGCUUCUUUAUUGUAUUAUAUCCUUGUAUUAAGGAUAUUUUUGUGGCUAACACAGCUGGUGUUUUGGCAGGAGGUGUACCUGUUCUUCAGUUUCAGGGCUGUGAAGGUUACCUAGCUCCUCAUGUUAUUGCAGCAGUGAGAUUAAUGCUAGCACUGCUAACCAUCAUUUCCUUUGUUGCUGUAUGCUGUU